Long non-coding RNA from Eubalaena glacialis (North Atlantic right whale), 388 nucleotides. RefSeq lists it as uncharacterized. Lineage: Eukaryota; Metazoa; Chordata; Mammalia; Artiodactyla; Balaenidae. The transcript is spliced from 3 exons. The record is from RefSeq and is a predicted model, not a curated record.
AAGUAAAUGCAACCGCUGGAAUCCAGACCCUAAUGAGGCAGAGUCUGUUCUUAACCACUGUCUGUACUAAAGGUGAUUUAAAACAGGUUUUGGUAAAUGUCCAAUUCCAAUAAUAUGUUAACAUUUUCAGUGUCAAUCCAGGUUAAAAAGAGGUGGAUCAAAAAAGAUCUUGCAGGACUUCACUGGUGGCGCAGUGGUUGAGAAUCUGCCUGCCAAUGCAAGGGACACAGGUUCGAGCCCUGGUCUGGGAAGAUCCCACAUGCCACGAAGCAACUGGGCCCGUGAGCCACAAUUACUGAGCCUGCGCAUCUGGAGCCUGUGCUCCGCAACAAGAGGCCGCGAUAGUGAGAGGCCCGCGCACCACGAUGAAGAGUGGCCACCACUUGCC